CACAGGACAUUUCAAUGCUUUAUUUCUCCGUUAUGGUGGAAGUCUGCAGUCAACGGUUGCUAGGGGUUGUCAUGACGUGACAGCUUUCAUCUGAGAAAUUGUUGAUUGUGAUGAGAGUUCCUAUUACGCUAGAGGACAACCACAGCACGAAUAUCGGUAUUUGGCACCAUGGACUCUGUAGCGUGCGUUAGCGACAAGCUAGCGCGUUACGCUCAAGUUGCUGCGAGUCGAGAGACAAGCCAAUUCCGAGACAAGACGGAUGCCUGCUCACGCGACACCAUGAAUAAUCCACCAUUGGUGUAAAGAAAGAUGGCACAGUCCUUGACUUCUUCAGUUCACGCGCAGCUAAGGCACCUUGCAGCCUUGACAGUACUUCAGCCUGCUUGAGUAGUGCUACAAUUUGUGGUUGGUGGAUUUGUUGAGAUGUUUGGGCACGUGAGGCAAUGACUGCGCACAGUGAUCUGAUCUGCUCUGGAUAAUCUAAGUGAGGAAGCACAUGUGAAUUCUAUUACUGUGGAAAACUUUGGAACCUGCCUGUGAAGCAAGAGAAGUAGCUGAACACCUUCCACCAUCGAUGUUCUGGGCAUUUCCAACAGGCAGCAGUGGUUUGAGCACAUCACUAUGGGGAAGUGAGAAGAAGGUAGGGAGAUGAGGAAAAUGCAGCUGAGAAGGUGAAGAAAAGAAGGCUACAGUGGUUGGGGACCUAGCACGAAUGCCAAACUAUAGGGUACCGAAAUUGAUCCUAUUUUGCUGGCUGCCUCAACCCCCAGAUGGGGUCCAAGGAAGAGAUGGAGAGAUGUGAUAAGAAGAGAUCUCAAGGACAUUCUCCAGUGGCAGCCAAGAAUGUGGUGUAUGAGGUGUGCUCCAGGAAUUUCAUGAUAAGGCGAGGCACAAGUGUGUGGAUGAGAGACAGAAGCCUGUAGUGACCAGCAAGGUGCAGUCUACUAGUAGAGUCAGCGGUGUCUCUUAUGGUUCCGGAGUAGAGGAAGGCUACAGUUCACAGAUGCGUACCAGAAACCUCACACUGUUUCUGAUC
Corticium candelabrum is the source of this 1036-nucleotide long non-coding RNA. RefSeq lists it as uncharacterized. The record is from RefSeq and is a predicted model, not a curated record. NCBI's taxonomy places the organism in Eukaryota, Metazoa, Porifera, Homoscleromorpha, Homosclerophorida, Plakinidae. The transcript has 3 exons.